This 414-nucleotide long non-coding RNA is filed under the name Bemisia tabaci. RNAcentral's name for it is "lncRNA ENSSSA1UGG005763". The record is from RNAcentral. Lineage: Eukaryota; Metazoa; Arthropoda; Insecta; Hemiptera; Aleyrodidae.
CCUCGGCCAGAGCGUUGCCUUACAAGGAAUGGAUCUUAUAUCAAACCUCCUGGUCCUGGUUAUAAUAGGACUGCACCCCCUUGUGCCGAAUCUCCUAAAGUUAGCCCUAUGACGAAAAACGUACCGAGAGACGUGCAUUGGAUUGAGAGCGAGUUUUAUCCCCCACCUCAGGACCAGAAUGAGGCAAACGACUCUUGCGGUGGAUGCUGGGCCUACGCAAGUGCCAGCGUCAUGGAGAUUCUUGUAUCGCGGAAACUACGGCAAGUUAUUCGACUCUCUAAACAACAGUUGCUCGACUGCGAGAAGGAGAACAACGGAUGCGAUGGCGGCGACCUCGAAAACGGUCUCCGUUACAUCAUGGAAACCGGGCUGGCACUUGAAAGGGACUACUCGUUCACAGGAAGAGGAGGGGGG